This 22-nucleotide microRNA is filed under the name Scyliorhinus torazame (cloudy catshark). Its description in RNAcentral is "Sto-Mir-456_5p* (star (passenger))". Lineage: Eukaryota; Metazoa; Chordata; Chondrichthyes; Carcharhiniformes; Scyliorhinidae. The record is from RNAcentral.
GCAGGCAUCUAUCCAGCCUACA